AGAGUUUGAUCAUGGCUCAGAACGAACGCUGGCGGCGUGCUUAACACAUGCAAGUCGAGUGCGCGUGCCGUAGCAAUACGGUAUGGCGCACGGCGCACGGGUGCGUAACACGUGGGCAAUCUGCCCUCCGAUGGGGAAUAACUCCGGGAAACCGAAGCUAAUUCCGCAUAAUAUUCCCUGGACUCCGGUUCGGGGAUUCAAAGCAGCAAUGCGUCGGAGGAGGAGCCCGCGCCCGAUUAGCUAGUUGGUGAGGUAACGGCUCACCAAGGCUAUGAUCGGUAGCUGGUCUGAGAGGAUGGCCAGCCACACUGGAACUGAGACACGGUCCAGACUCCUACGGGAGGCAGCAGUGGGGAAUCUUGCGCAAUGGGCGAAGGCCUGACGCAGCGACGCCGCGUGGGGGAUGAAGCUUCUCGGAGUGUAAACCCCUUUCGACCGGGACGAAUGCCCGCAAGGGAGUGACGGUACCGGUAGAAGAAGCCCCGGCUAACUACGUGCCAGCAGCCGCGGUAAGACGUAGGGGGCCAGCGUUGUUCGGAAUUACUGGGUGUAAAGGGUUCGUAGGCGGUGUGGCAAGUCGGGAGUGAAAUUUCUGGGCUUAACUCAGAACCUGCUUCCGAAACUGCUGUGCUGGAGUGUGGGAGAGGCGCGUGGAAUUGCAGGUGUAGCGGUGAAAUGCGUAGAUAUCUGCAGGAACACCCGUGGCGAAAGCGGCGCGCUGGACCACUACUGACGCUGAGGAACGAAAGCUAGGGGAGCAAACAGGAUUAGAUACCCUAGUAGUCC
RNAcentral lists this ribosomal RNA (786 nucleotides) under uncultured bacterium. RNAcentral describes it as "bacterial SSU rRNA". It matches the Rfam family "Bacterial small subunit ribosomal RNA", at positions 8 to 796 of the family's 1533-position model. The record is from RNAcentral.